This 483-nucleotide ribosomal RNA is filed under the name uncultured bacterium. Its description in RNAcentral is "partial 16S ribosomal RNA". It matches the Rfam family "Bacterial small subunit ribosomal RNA", at positions 28 to 507 of the family's 1533-position model. The record is from RNAcentral.
GACGAACGCUGGCGGCGUGCUUAACACAUGCAAGUCGAACGCUGAAGCUCAGCUUUUGUUGGGUGGAUGAGUGGCGAACGGGUGAGUAACACGUGAGUAACCUGCCUCCUUCUUUGGGAUAACGCCCGGAAACGGGUGCUAAUACUGGAUAUUCACUGGUCUUCGCAUGGGGGUUGGUGGAAAGGGUUUUUCUGGUGGGGGAUGGGCUCGCGGCCUAUCAGCUUGUUGGUGGGGUGAUGGCCUACCAAGGCUUUGACGGGUAGCCGGCCUGAGAGGGUGACCAGUCACAUUGGGACUGAGAUACGGCCCAGACUCCUACGGGAGGCAGCAGUGGGGAAUAUUGCACAAUGGGCGCAAGCCUGAUGCAGCGACGCCGCGUGAGGGAUGGAGGCCUUCGGGUUGUGAACCUCUUUCGCUCAUGGUCAAGCCGCAACAAUGGUUGUGGUGAGGGUAGUGGGUAAAGAAGCGCCGGCUAACUACGUG